Molecule: ribosomal RNA, 600 nt
Filed under: uncultured Gammaproteobacteria bacterium
Lineage: Bacteria; Pseudomonadati; Pseudomonadota; Gammaproteobacteria
Description: bacterial SSU rRNA
Rfam family: Bacterial small subunit ribosomal RNA
Source: RNAcentral
CAUGCAAGUCGAGCGGUCAAAAUGAGGGGGCUUGCCCCUGAAAGACGAGCGGCGGACGGGUGAGUAAUGCGCGGGAACGCGCCCUUUGGAGGGGGACAACCUUGGGAAACCAGGGCUAAUACCGCAUAACCUCCACGGAGCAAAGCGGGGGAUUUCUUCGGAAACCUCGCGCCAAAGGAGCGGCCCGCGUCCGAUUAGUUUGACGGCGGGGUAACAGCCCACCGUGACUACCAUCGGUAGCUGGUCUGAGAGGAUGAUCAGCCACACCGGGACUGAGACACGGCCCGGACUCCUACGGGAGGCAGCAGUGGGGAAUAUUGGACAAUGGGGGCAACCCUGAUCCAGCGAUGCCGCGUGUGUGAAGAAGGCCUUCGGGUUGUAAAGCACUUUCGCAGGGGAAGAAACGGUGCGCUCUAACAUAGCGCGCAACUGACGGUACCCUGAAAAGAAGCGCCGGCUAAUUCCGUGCCAGCAGCCGCGGUAAUACGGAAGGCGCAAGCGUUAAUCGGAAUGACUGGGCGUAAAGCGUGCGCAGGCGGCCGCGCAAGUCGGAUGUGAAAGCCCCGGGCUCAACCCGGGAACGGCGUUCGAAACUGCGCG